CCCGGGUCUUGUACACACCGCCCGUCACACCAUGGGAGUGGAAUCCGCCAGAAGUAGGUAGUCUAACCGCAAGGGGGACGCUUACCACGGUAGGUUCAUGACUGGGGUG
This 109-nucleotide ribosomal RNA is filed under the name uncultured bacterium. Its description in RNAcentral is "partial 16S ribosomal RNA". It matches the Rfam family "Bacterial small subunit ribosomal RNA", at positions 1373 to 1482 of the family's 1533-position model. The record is from RNAcentral.